CUUCAGAGCAAGCGAGAGCAGUUCUUCAAGAACGAGCCAACCACCCCGACCAUGCCGGGCCCCACCCCUGGCUCUGGUUCCGCCCCCUCUGUUCCACCCCCGACCGCCCCCGCCCCCUCUGCCAUCAAAGAGGCUCUGGCCAAACGGGCGGCGGAACGAGGUAGGCUGCAAAAUGGUGAUUCCGCAAACAGUGAAGACAACAAAGAGCGUUACAACAAAGAAAAUAAGGCGCCAGAAAGAAGAACCAAAGAGCUUGAUGGAUAUGUUGGAUUUGCGAAUUUGCCCAAUCAAGUUUAUAGAAAAGCAGUGAAAAGAGGUUUCGACUUUACUCUUAUGGUUGUUGGUGAAUCUGGCUUGGGAAAGUCUACUCUCAUCAACUCAAUGUUCCUUUCUGAUGUAUACUCAAAUGAACACCCUGGACCCUCACUAAGAGUUAAGAAAACAGUUGCUGUCGAAACAAGCAAAUGUCUUCUGAAAGAAAAUAAUGUGAAUUUAUCUUUAACUGUCGUGGACACUCCAGGGUUUGGAGAUGCUGUGGACAACAGUAACUGCUGGGCACCUGUUGUUGAAUACAUUGAGUCUAAAUAUGAAGAGUUUCUGAACGCUGAAUCACGUGUAAACCGCAAAAUCCUCUCUGAUAGUAGAGUGCAUUGUUGUCUAUAUUUUAUUGCGCCAUCAGGUCAUGGAUUGAAGCCCCUGGAUGUUGAGUUUAUGCAGAGGUUACAUGACAAAGUCAAUAUAAUUCCAGUCAUUGCCAAAGCAGACACAAUGACACCUGAUGAAUGCAAUCAGUUCAAAAAGCAAAUUCUUAAUGAAAUUGCACAACAUAAAAUUAAAAUAUAUGAGUUCCCAGACACAGAGGAGGAGGAAGAAGUGAAGCAACACAAAGCCUUGAAGGACCGUGUGCCAUUUGCUGUUGUUGGUUCGAACACUGUUAUUGAAGUUGAUGGCAAGAAAUUGAGAGGUCGCAAAUAUCCAUGGGGCAUUGCUGAAGUGGAAAACCUCGAGCACUGUGAUUUCAUAGCUCUCAGAAAUAUGUUGAUCCGAACUCACCUUCAAGAUCUCAAAGAAGUUACCAACAGUGUCCAUUAUGAGAACUACCGUUGCCGAAAACUAGCUGGACUUGGUACAGAUGGCAAACCAGGCAGAAUAUCAAACAAUGUGGCCCCACAAGGAGUUAUGAACAGUUUCAUGACAGUCUGGAAUCCAUUAGCUCAGAUGGAGGAAGAAAAGCGGGACCAUGAUGCUAAGAUGAAGAAGAUGGAGACGGAAAUGGAACAAGUAUUUGAAAUGAAAGUUAAGGAAAAGAAGCAGAAGCUGAGAGACUCUGAAUCAGAUCUCCAACGUCGUCAUGAGCAAAUGAAAAAGUCACUAGAGCAGCAGCUGCGUGAUCUUGAAGAGAAACGAGUGGCAUUUGACAAGGAGAGACUUGCCUGGGAACAGCAAAACGGAGUAACACUUCAAGAGUUGCGGAGACGUUCUUUGGAGGCCAACAGCAAAGAGUCGACCAACUCCAUGUUGCAGUUUAUUCGUAAAGCUAUGUAAAGCAUUUUAGCAUUUGAUUGCUCCUCCACAGAAGAUCUUCUUCUGUAGGUUCCUGCUAAAUCAUUCUUCCUGAAAUUUGUGAGAAAUGUUUUGUGUGUGUUUCCACUUUUGAUGUUUUUUGUUCAAAAUAUUUUGCUAGAUCAUAAUCAAAUUCCUCUCUAUGUACAUUCCUUUUAUUGCUGUGUGAUGGUUCAAAGAAACUCUUCUUGCAAAGUAUUCUCUCAUGUCAUUGUAAUUAGUUGUGACUUGCCUGCUCUUGUAGUUAUGACUUCUCGUUUGACUAGCCCUUUAAAUAAAUGGCUCCAGAUAAUCUUAUUGGUUUCCUCAAAAUUGUGAUUUUGUAACAGCAAAUUUUUUUAUGUUUUAUAUGUAUCUGAUUAAGUGUUCGCUUUUUAUGUAGAAUUUGUGCCUGUUUUUAGAAGACUGAAGUUAUUUAUUAAGUAUUGCUUUAAGGUAAAACCAAGGUGCAAGUAAGAAUUGUGAAAGUUCUGCAUGACAUUGUUUGCCUGUCUUUUAUAAUUAAUUGCUAUAUUUUAACAUGUACUUAAUUUUACCUUUGCUAAACAUAUCACAUUUUAAAUUAAAUAAAUGUUUGUUUUAUAUUUUUCUAUCUUGACAGUUAUUGGUUGUGUGAUGCACGAUACAACAUAUUCUUUCUCUAGUACAUUCAAAAUUGCAUAUUCAACAGACAGUACAGUAAUUUUUUUCUGUUUUUUCUCUUGUUGGAUAGUGUUGAUGUAUCCCCAAAAAUGAGCUACCAGCUGAAUAACUUGUCAUUUGCAAAUUACAUUCUGCUUUUUAAUGCUUCAUUCCUGCCUCUUGUUCAUAUUGCUAUGGCUAUCACUAAGAUCAUGCUGCUUUUUCAAGUUGCCUGUACAUCAAAUUUACUAUAGUUUUGUAUAUGUUUUCCUUGUUAAUAUUACAGUUGUUGCCUCUCCACUAAGUCAGUAUUCAUUAUCAUGUAUAAGGUGUCGCUUACAGACAUGUCCCUUUCAAGGUGGGUUUUCCCGCUAUUUAUUUGAAUCCAUACCACUUAGCUUCUGACUACUGCUCUCUUUCUGGAUUCGGCACAGCUUAGCUCAACUCAAUGACUUGUGUCGGCAAGCUGGGUGAGAUGAGCCAACCUCACCCGCACAGCCUGCCUAGCCACCCACAGCAAACCCAUAGAUUCAAACCAGUGGGGGGAAAGUCUUGCCUUCAACAGCGUGCCCUUUAGUACUCUAAAAUCUUGAUUCGACUCUCAAUUUACUGGAUUAACUGAUAUGCCUCUAACUGCACUAUAUAUAUCUCGGCAAGACUAAUGGAAUGUUCCAGAUUUUGAAUUGAUUUGUGAAUAUUAUCAAUGCUUUUGGUGAAGGUUGCCUGAAGAUAUUUCCUGGCUUUCCUUUUUUGAUGGUAUCUCAUGACAUGUUACACAUUUGCCAUGUCUGCUUAUAUCAAUGUCCUUUUUAACAACCUACAUCUGAAGAGAACCAUUUUGAAGCAUGACUUGUAAAGCACAGUCAUUUAGGAUGGUCGAUGGAAAAGAAAAGAAGAACAAAAAGAAGGGGCUCUUUUAAACCAGUUGUUAAUGGACCAGAUAAUUCUUUCAAUGCAAGGUCGUAUGCUUGUGGGCAAAAUUUGUGUCAGUCACAACUUUUAGAUUUUGUAAAUAUUGAGUCUCAUAACUUCUAGCCUCCUCUAAUGUGUCAUUUCUUGUAGGAAUUUUUGGAAUGUGAACUUGACAAGUUUUGACCACAUCCAUACGCCUUUUGAUUUCAUGUCAGUGCUCACCUAGCCAUAAUUCUGUGGAAAGCUAUGUACAAAGAUAUCUUGUUGGUUUAUUUAUUAUUCUUUUAUAAUUUCUCAGUAGAGAUGUAGAUGUAAAUGAGAUUGUUUUAUGUUUAUGACAAGUCUGUAUAUAUGACAGGUGUGCAAUGUUGUCAUUUUGAAAUAUUGUAUCAAUUUGGAGUGAUAAGCAUGUUUAAACCAAAGGAUGAAAGUAUUUUAUUUAAAACAUACCUGGAAAACAUCUUUAUAGUUUAUCUCUAUCUUUGACAUGCUCCUACAACACUGCCAGUAUUUCCAGAUACCUUGGUAGCAUCAAACUUCAGAUCGCUUCUUUUGGCAAGUUGAGUCAAAUGUUUAACUAAAUGAAUUUCUGGAAGAGCCUAUGUGGUACCUUCAGUAUUCUCUAGUGUAGUUAUUCAAAUUUUAUAUGUGCUAAUAAGUGCAAUGGGUAGUCAAAAUCCUCAAAAGCAGAUUUCUUUUGAAUGAGUUAAUUGAUUUAGCCAAUCCAAGGCAAAUCUAUAGUAUCUCUUAUCUUAUUGUACAAUGUUGGAUGUGAUUUUAUAAACCUUUCUUUAGAUAUUAUUUUACAAAAGAAUGCCAUGCCUCAGUGCACAUGGUUAAUGUUACCUGAGAUUUGAUUGAAGUGGUUUGCAUGAUUGACAGGCUUAGGAAGGAUCAUUAAAAUCAAUUUGUGGUGUGCCAAUGAUCAAAUGACACUUAUUUUUGUCAUUAAUGUACAAUGAGACAUUUCUGAUCAUUCUGUUUAAUUAUCAAAUUUAAUUUAGAUUAAAGUUUUACGUUUUGUUUUCAUUUCUUCUUUUUUUUAUGAGCACAACAGAGAUGAUCACUCUUAGGAACCAUUCACUUCCAUUAAUUAUUUAAACAAUGUUUUGUGCCUCUUUUACUCUGAGAACCAUACUUAAAGUAAUGAUAAAUUAGCUCCAUGUUUGGUGAUAUCAUUCAAGAUGUUUGGACUGCUUGUCUAAAUUCCAUUGGUAUUAAAACCAUUUUGCUAAUUUGCAUCUACAUUGUAAUUGGAUCUGAUAUUAUUAAUGAAAAGUAGUGUCAGUUGUGUCAUAAUCAUGAUUUAGGCAAUAAAUGAUUUUAAUAAGGACA
This is an RNA transcript of Frankliniella occidentalis (western flower thrips), 4431 nucleotides long. It is a transcript of the gene named septin-7, with no coding region annotated. The transcript is spliced from 10 exons. The record is from RefSeq and is a predicted model, not a curated record. NCBI's taxonomy places the organism in Eukaryota, Metazoa, Arthropoda, Insecta, Thysanoptera, Thripidae.